This 438-nucleotide ribosomal RNA is filed under the name uncultured bacterium. RNAcentral describes it as "bacterial SSU rRNA". It matches the Rfam family "Bacterial small subunit ribosomal RNA", at positions 355 to 785 of the family's 1533-position model. The record is from RNAcentral.
UCGGGAAUAUUGGACAAUGGGGGAAACCCUGAUCCAGCCAUGCCGCGUGUGUGAAGAAGGCCCUAGGGUUGUAAAGCACUUUUAGUAGUGAGGAAGGCUCAGUAGUUAAUACCUACUGGGAUUGACGUUAGCUACAGAAAAAGCACCGGCUAAUUUCGUGCCAGCAGCCGCGGUAAUACGAAAGGUGCAAGCGUUAAUCGGAAUUACUGGGCGUAAAGCGCGCGUAGGCGGCUUGGUAAGUUGGAUGUGAAAGCCCCGGGCUCAACCUGGGAACUGCAUCCAAAACUGCCUAGCUAGAGUAUGGUAGAGGAUGGCGGAAUUUCCUGUGUAGCGGUGAAAUGCGUAGAUAUAGGAAGGAACAUCAGUGGCGAAGGCGGCCAUCUGGACCAAUACUGACGCUGAGGUGCGAAAGCGUGGGGAGCAAACAGGAUUAGAUAC